AUGGAGCCGACCUUGAAAUACCACCCUUUAAUGUUUGAUGUUCUAACGUUGACCCGUAAUCCGGGUUGCGGACAGUGUCUGGUGGGUAGUUUGACUGGGGCGGUCUCCUCCUAAAGAGUAACGGAGGAGCACGAAGGUUGGCUAAUCCUGGUCGGACAUCAGGAGGUUAGUGCAAUGGCAUAAGCCAGCUUGACUGCGAGCGUGACGGCGCGAGCAGGUGCGAAAGCAGGUCAUAGUGAUCCGGUGGUUCUGAAUGGAAGGGCCAUCGCUCAACGGAUAAAAGGUACUCCGGGGAUAACAGGCUGAUACCGCCCAAGAGUUCAUAUCGACGGCGGUGUUUGGCACCUCGAUGUCGGCUCAUCACAUCCUGGGGCUGAAGUAGGUCCCAAGGGUAUGGCUGUUCGCCAUUUAAAGUGGUACGCGAGCUGGGUUUAGAACGUCGUGAGACAGUUCGGUCCCUAUCUGCCGUGGGCGCUGGAGAACUGAGGGGGGCUGCUCCUAGUACGAGAGGACCGGAGUGGACGCAUCACUGGUGUUCGGGUUGUCAUGCCAAUG
This 555-nucleotide ribosomal RNA is filed under the name Escherichia coli. RNAcentral's name for it is "partial 23S ribosomal RNA". It matches the Rfam family "Bacterial large subunit ribosomal RNA", at positions 2180 to 2734 of the family's 2925-position model. The record is from RNAcentral. Lineage: Bacteria; Pseudomonadati; Pseudomonadota; Gammaproteobacteria; Enterobacterales; Enterobacteriaceae.